This 222-nucleotide long non-coding RNA is filed under the name Elaeis guineensis (African oil palm). Its description in RNAcentral is "long non-coding RNA (EGUI_LNC025030)". Lineage: Eukaryota; Viridiplantae; Streptophyta; Magnoliopsida; Arecales; Arecaceae. The record is from RNAcentral.
UCGUACGGAUAAGAAGGGUGGGCCGAUGAGCACCACGAUCAGAAAGAUUUUCAUAAGUAAUAAUGGUGUGUUAUAAUUUCAUAUAAUUCACUCAUUUUGCUUUGACAAUGUGCGUGUUAUAAUUUCUAAGAUUUUAUCUGAAUUUACAGUUGCAGGAGCAGUUAGACAUGCUUGUGAGCGAGGGCUCGAACACCUCUGGCCCCCAUGAUCAUCUGUCUCAGA